GCAAACUUGGUCAUUUAGAGGAAGUAAAAGUCGUAACAAGGUUUCCGUAGGUGAACCUGCGGAAGGAUCAUUAAAGAACAGAUCACAAAAGAGGGGGUCUGUAAGACAUUGGCUCAGAGGGAAGGAGAGAGAGAGGCAGGAUGGAUUUUUCUGCGGCGAUGGGGUCUCUAUUUUCCGGCGGAAGGGGGACCCACUGGAUGAGACUCCACAGUGCUACUGUUGCCAUUAGUCGCACAGAGCCUACGGCAGAUCAAAAUCUCUCAUAGUGGAUCCCCCCUCUGGUUAAUUGAACAGCCUCCUUUUGUGGUUCCAUCUCACACACCCAUAAUGUGAACCUUUGCGUGAGUCAGUAUAGGUCAAGUGGCCUAGAAAGCUUGCGACUUCCACAUAAUCCCUAUAAACGAGUUCUAGAAUGUACACUUGCGUCUAAUCGCAUCCAAUACAACUUUCAGCAACGGAUCUCUUGGCUCUCGCAUCGAUGAAGAACGCAGC
This 492-nucleotide unclassified non-coding RNA is filed under the name uncultured fungus. Its description in RNAcentral is "partial contains small subunit ribosomal RNA, internal transcribed spacer 1, and 5.8S ribosomal RNA". The stretch from base 1 to 73 matches the Rfam family "Eukaryotic small subunit ribosomal RNA", at positions 1759 to 1831 of the family's 1831-position model. Lineage: Eukaryota; Fungi. The record is from RNAcentral.